RNAcentral lists this unclassified non-coding RNA (866 nucleotides) under Hevea brasiliensis (rubber tree). The record is from RNAcentral. Lineage: Eukaryota; Viridiplantae; Streptophyta; Magnoliopsida; Malpighiales; Euphorbiaceae.
UUUUCCCUCUUUUUUUUUUUGGAAUUAUCAGAUCACUUGUCUGUGUGUUUCAAUGGAAUCUGACUCUUCUUCUUAAUGUUGAUCGACCGUCAUGAUCUAUUUGCAUUUGUUUGUGUAUAGCAAGAAUGGGAUGACACGAAUCAAAUCUGUUUGUUUUCUAUAAUUUCUUUAACGAGCUGCAUAUUUGAUCUAGACUAUAGAAUCUGUUUUAAUAUUGUUCACUUUAUGAAGAUCAGUUGUUUGUUGAACCAAACUAUCUCAGUAACACUUUUGAUUGAUUCACUCACUAGUUUUGUGGUAUGGAAAUUUUGGAUCAAUUUUGUGUGGGAAAGGUUUGGAAUUCAAUGGAUUAUUGUAGUUGUUGAGUUAUUAUGUGUCUACCUACUUAUGACAAACGAAACAAUAUCAUAUGAUUAAUGCUGUGAUAAGAUUUGUUUAAUUUUUGAAUUUUGAUAAUUUCUUAGUACAUAUGGAAUGAAAUGUGAGUGACUAGAUUCCUUGUCAAAUUUCCCGACAUGAUUUAGAUAAUUUCUUAAUUGUGCAUGCGUGGGGGUUAUCAGCUGAUAAAUGGUUUUACCUGUUGCUGUCAUUAGUUUGGAAUUGUUGCUUUGGUUGGUUUUUGGAUUUUACCUGUGAGAUCUGAAUAUGCUGAAUCUUCGAGAGCUUGAUGGUUAUCUAAUUCCGAAUCUCUCUUAUGCAUCUAACAUAACAUCUUAUAAAAUUUCUCUCUCCUUGCAGAUGAGCUUAUUGCCAAUGCCGCCUAUAUUGGAACCCCUGGAAAGGGUAUCCUUGCUGCUGACGAGUCUACUGGCACUAUUGGCAAGCGUCUAGCCAGCAUCAACGUUGAGAAUGUUGAGGACAACAGA